RNAcentral lists this small nuclear RNA (170 nucleotides) under Salvator merianae (Argentine black and white tegu). RNAcentral describes it as "U1 spliceosomal RNA (ENSSMRG00000002786.1)". It matches the Rfam family "U1 spliceosomal RNA". From Rfam's summary of the family: U1 is a small nuclear RNA (snRNA) component of the spliceosome (involved in pre-mRNA splicing). Its 5' end forms complementary base pairs with the 5' splice junction, thus defining the 5' donor site of an intron. Lineage: Eukaryota; Metazoa; Chordata; Lepidosauria; Squamata; Teiidae. The record is from Rfam by way of RNAcentral.
UGCUUUAUCUGGCAGGGGAGACACCAUGAUCAUGAAGGUGGUUUUCCCAGGGUGAAAAUGGAUGCAUUGCACUCCGUGUGUGCUGACGUGACCCCUGUGAUUUCCCCAAAUGCGGGAAACUCAACUGCAUAAUUUGUGUUAGUGGGGGACUACGUGCGUGCAAGCUAACA